RNAcentral lists this ribosomal RNA (1582 nucleotides) under metagenome. Its description in RNAcentral is "bacterial LSU rRNA". It matches the Rfam family "Bacterial large subunit ribosomal RNA", at positions 410 to 1977 of the family's 2925-position model. The record is from RNAcentral.
GAGUAGGGCGGGACACGUGGUAUCCUGUCUGAAUAUGGGGGGACCAUCCUCCAAGGCUAAAUACUCCUGACUGACCGAUAGUGAACCAGUACCGUGAGGGAAAGGCGAAAAGAACCCCGGCGAGGGGAGUGAAAAAGAACCUGAAACCGUGUACGUACAAGCAGUGGGAGCCUCUUUAUGGGGUGACUGCGUACCUUUUGUAUAAUGGGUCAGCGACUUAUAUUCUGUAGCAAGGUUAACCGAAUAGGGGAGCCGAAGGGAAACCGAGUCUUAACUGGGCGUUAAGUUGCAGGGUAUAGACCCGAAACCCGGUGAUCUAGCCAUGGGCAGGUUGAAGGUUGGGUAACACUAACUGGAGGACCGAACCGACUAAUGUUGAAAAAUUAGCGGAUGACUUGUGGCUGGGGGUGAAAGGCCAAUCAAACCGGGAGAUAGCUGGUUCUCCCCGAAAGCUAUUUAGGUAGCGCCUCGUGAAUUCAUCUCCGGGGGUAGAGCACUGUUUCGGCAAGGGGGUCAUCCCGACUUACCAACCCGAUGCAAACUGCGAAUACCGGAGAAUGUUAUCACGGGAGACACACGGCGGGUGCUAACGUCCGUCGUGAAGAGGGAAACAACCCAGACCGCCAGCUAAGGUCCCAAAGUCAUGGUUAAGUGGGAAACGAUGUGGGAAGGCCCAGACAGCCAGGAUGUUGGCUUAGAAGCAGCCAUCAUUUAAAGAAAGCGUAAUAGCUCACUGGUCGAGUCGGCCUGCGCGGAAGAUGUAACGGGGCUAAACCAUGCACCGAAGCUGCGGCAGCGACACUAUGUGUUGUUGGGUAGGGGAGCGUUCUGUAAGCCUGUGAAGGUGGCCUGUGAGGGUUGCUGGAGGUAUCAGAAGUGCGAAUGCUGACAUAAGUAACGAUAAAGCGGGUGAAAAGCCCGCUCGCCGGAAGACCAAGGGUUCCUGUCCAACGUUAAUCGGGGCAGGGUGAGUCGACCCCUAAGGCGAGGCCGAAAGGCGUAGUCGAUGGGAAACAGGUUAAUAUUCCUGUACUUGGUGUUACUGCGAAGGGGGGACGGAGAAGGCUAUGUUGGCCGGGCGACGGUUGUCCCGGUUUAAGCGUGUAGGCUGGUUUUCCAGGCAAAUCCGGAAAACCAAGGCUGAGGCGUGAUGACGAGGCACUACGGUGCUGAAGCGACAAAUGCCCUGCUUCCAGGAAAAGCCUCUAAGCAUCAGGUAACAUCAAAUCGUACCCCAAACCGACACAGGUGGUCAGGUAGAGAAUACCAAGGCGCUUGAGAGAACUCGGGUGAAGGAACUAGGCAAAAUGGUGCCGUAACUUCGGGAGAAGGCACGCUGAUAUGUAGGUGAAGCGACUUGCUCGUGGAGCUGAAAUCAGUCGAAGAUACCAGCUGGCUGCAACUGUUUAUUAAAAACACAGCACUGUGCAAACACGAAAGUGGACGUAUACGGUGUGACGCCUGCCCGGUGCCGGAAGGUUAAUUGAUGGGGUUAGCGGUAACGCGAAGCUCUUGAUCGAAGCCCCGGUAAACGGCGGCCGUAACUAUAACGGUCCUAAGGUAGCGAAAUUCCUUGUCGGGU